UACGUAGGGUGCGAGCGUUGUCCGGAAUUAUUGGGCGUAAAGGGCUCGUAGGCGGUUUGUCGCGUCGGGAGUGAAAACCAGGUGCUUAACACCUGGCUUGCUUUCGAUACGGGCAGACUAGAGGUAUGCAGGGGAGAACGGAAUUCCUGGUGUAGCGGUGAAAUGCGCAGAUAUCAGGAGGAACACUGGUGGCGAAGGCGGUUCUCUGGGCAUGACCUGACGCUGAGGAGCGAAAGUGUGGGGAGCGAACAGG
This 253-nucleotide ribosomal RNA is filed under the name uncultured bacterium. RNAcentral describes it as "partial 16S ribosomal RNA". It matches the Rfam family "Bacterial small subunit ribosomal RNA", at positions 524 to 776 of the family's 1533-position model. The record is from RNAcentral.